This 484-nucleotide ribosomal RNA is filed under the name uncultured bacterium. RNAcentral's name for it is "partial 16S ribosomal RNA". It matches the Rfam family "Bacterial small subunit ribosomal RNA", at positions 30 to 507 of the family's 1533-position model. The record is from RNAcentral.
AUUGAACGCUGGCGGCAGGCCUAACACAUGCAAGUCGAGCGGAUGAAGGGAGCUUGCUCCUGGAUUCUGCGGCGGACGGGUGUGUAAUGCCUAGGACUCUGCCUGGUAGUGGGGGAUAACGUCCGGAAACGGGCGCUAAUACCGCAUACGUCCUGAGGGAGAAAGUGGGGGAUCUUCGGACCUCACGCUAUCGGAUGAGCCUAGGUCGGAUUAGCUAGUUGGUGGGGUAAAGGCCUACCCAGGCGACGAUCCGUAACUGGUCUGAGAGGAUGAUCAGUCACACGGGAACUGAGACACGGUCCAGACUCCUACGGGAGGCAGCAGUCGGGAAUAUUGGACAAUGGGGGAAAGCCUGAUCCAGCCAUGCCGCGUGUGUGAAGAAGGUCUUCGGAUUGUAAAGCACUUUAAGUUGGGAGGAAGGGCAGUAAGUUAAUACCUUGCUGUUUUGACGUUACCAACAGAAUAAGCACCGGCUAACUUCGUG